CCUACGGGAGGCAGCAGUGGGGAAUAUUGGGCAAUGGACGCAAGUCUGACCCAGCAACGCCGCGUGAAGGAAGAAGGCUUUCGGGUUGUAAACUUCUUUUGCCGGGGAGCAACGGGCGCCACGUGUGGCGCCACUGAGAGUACCCGGAGAAAAAGCAUCGGCUAACUCCGUGCCAGCAGCCGCGGUAAUACGGGGGAAGCGAGGUUUGUCCGGAUUUAUUGGGUUGAAAGGGUGGGUAGGCGGAUCGGUAAGGAAGUGGUCAAAUUGAGGGGCUCAACCCCUUCCCGCCAUUGAAACUGGCGAUCUUGAGUGGAAGAGAAGUAUGCGGAAUGCGUGGUGUAGCGGUGAAAUGCAUAGAUAUUACGCAGAACCCCGGUUGCGAAGGCAGCAUGCUGGCUUCCGACUGACGCUGAAGCACGAAAGCGUGGGGAUCGAACAGGAUUAGAUACCCGGGUAGUC
This 459-nucleotide ribosomal RNA is filed under the name uncultured bacterium. RNAcentral's name for it is "partial 16S ribosomal RNA". It matches the Rfam family "Bacterial small subunit ribosomal RNA", at positions 338 to 795 of the family's 1533-position model. The record is from RNAcentral.